RNAcentral lists this long non-coding RNA (2822 nucleotides) under Cinara cedri. The record is from RNAcentral. Lineage: Eukaryota; Metazoa; Arthropoda; Insecta; Hemiptera; Aphididae.
CUCCUGUAAAGUAUCUGUUUUUUUACUUAAAUCAUAUCUUUGAAAAACCGUCCAAUUUUAACUUCAAAAAAACGGUAAGCGCAUUUCACAAUUCAUUUUAACACAAUAAAUAGGUAAUUCGACGGACUUUUCUAACAAACAAUAACGCCAACAUCGUGCGUAAACGGUUGUAUGUAUAUUGUAUGUAUUGUUUUUAUGUCUAUAAUUUGAAUAAUAAUAAUAAUAAUAAUAAUAAUAAUAAUAAUAUUUACAAUAAUAUAAUAUUAUUAUGGUGCGCGAGUGAAGAACAUAUAAAAUAUAAAUAUAUAUAGUUUUUUUUUUCGGGCGUAAAACGGUGGGCGGACGUAUAAUAAUUUAUUAAUUAUCGUGUUUAUUAUAGAAUAACAAUUUAAUAAUUUAAUGAAUUAAUAGUGUGUACACGAUAAUAUAAUAAUAAAUAAAUAAAUAAAUAAAUAAAUAAAUAAAUAAUAAUAAAAAAACGUACUUAGUGACUAGUAGUCGAGCGUUAACCGCACAAUUUUGUAUUUUCGGUUAAUCGAAAUGUACGUAAAAAAAAAAAAAAAAAAAUUACAGACAGAUAUUAUACUAUUAUAUUAUAUAUAUCGAUAUACCGGCGACGUAAGUCUGCAGUGCACGCACGCGUUCGGAGGAGAGGGGAUAUUCGACCGGUACCAAUAAACUUGAUUCAUUCAAUAUCGUGUAAAUGAAUAGUAAAAUGAUUUUCCGCGAAGGGAAAGGUAUAGUAUGUAAGAUUUUAGUCGACUCUCGAUAAUUGACCAUUAUCCAAAAUUUAAUGGGACAGAAAACAACUUUGAUAAGUUGAGAGUUCAAAUCGCUCAGAGAGGUUAGAACUAUCGAGAUAGUGAAAAAAAAAAAAAUCGAAUUGCCGAGAGUUAAGGCAAAUGUACUUCUUCUUCUUAUAUGGUAUUUAAUACCACCAAAAAGUUUUUGCCGCCAUAGCACCAUUCCUCAAUUUCACUCUAUUCCGAACUACUAUUCUCUACCCAUACAUACUUUCAUUCUAUUGACGUCUACUUUGACAAUAUCCAUCCAUCCAUUUUUUCUUGGGCUGACCCCGAGUUAUAUUUCUCAAUGAUUUCCAAGUUAGAACUACUCUGCAUGUAUCAUCCUUAUUUCUUUACAUCUUACUCAAACCAUCGGAUCCUUUGUCCUCGAAUGAACCUUAUAGUGGCUUAAUGGUCAUAUCCAUUCUUUUUUGUAGAUAAAUACAAUUGUAAAUGGCACUUAAGCGAUCCCAAAAUAAGAUAAAAUUAAACUUUGCAAAUUGGGUUGUUGUUUUGUCGAUAAGAGCCGAACGCGCAGUCGUGGUGAAACGACUUCGGAUACUAUACCGCGAGUACGAACAUUUCGAUGAUAACCGCGAGAUUUUUAAACAUAUAUAUUACUUUGAAUUACACCGAUGGUUUCGAAUAUAUUAUCGAGAGUCGACUACAUUAUAAUAUAAUCAUAUUGUCGUGCGUGUACGGUACUAAAGGUACGACUAUAAAAAAUAUUAGGAAUGUCUGGUUAAAUAGGUGUAAGUAUUAAAGUAGUUGUUCGAUCGGUUUAACAUGCACAAGUCUGCAGGUGGUUAAGAUUUCAGGAAUAAAAAAAUAAAAAUAACGCGAGUUAAAUAACGAGUUUAAUAAGUUAUUAAAUAAGAGUCGGUAUUGUUUGCUACGAAAUCGCAACGAAACGAAAGCGUCCGAAACGUCAUCAACGGCGGUAAAACUUUCUGAAAGACUAUCAUAUUGCCUAUAUGGAGACACUGUCUCUAAAUUAUCGUUAACGUUUUAUUUAUAAGAAAAAAGAUAAUGUUUGCUAUGUUAUAAUUCUUUAGUAUUAUAUAUUAUAUAAAUAAUAUAUAUUAAUUAUUAAUAAUUGAUUUCCCUUAUGUAUUUUCUCAUAUGUUUACUUUGUUUUUAUUUUUUUAUGCCUGUUGUUUUUCAUUUAUUUAUUUUUUUUUUUUUUAAUAUUAUCCGAUAUUUAAGUGUCUAAGUCUGUGAUUAACUAACUUUAAGGAAAAAAAAAAUGUGAACAAUUUUAAAACCCCCACACGAGCAUGCUCAGUGGGACCAAUCAUUCUUUGAAAUAAACGCUUAAUAAUAAUAAUAACAUUAUGAAUGGAUUAAUUAUUUAAGCAAUAUGGCCGUUAAUGUAGACAAGUAUCAUAUACAUAUGUAUAUGUAGUCAUAAUGAAACCAGCUCUAACUAGAGAUAUGACGAACUGUUCAAUCAAAAUCAUUCCAUGCCGAUUCUGCGCGGUCAUCAAAAUGAUGGUCUGUGGUGGGACAGAGCGGCCUUGUUACGAAAAAGAAAAAUUGUUCUUUUUGUAUUAGUUUUUUCGCAAAUAUUAUAAUUGUACAGUUUUACAAUUUUAAAAAUGUUCAUCCUAACCUAACCUUUUUAUUUUUUUAAUGUUCGAGUUCGAUAAAAUAUUUUAAAAGUUCGAUUAGGUUCGGUUCGACUUUAAAAAUCAGGGUUCGUAACAUCUUUAGCUCUAACGAAUGGAUGCGGUGUGAGGCUUGGGUGACAAUGAGCAUGGCGGAAAGGGAAUUGAGAACUUUCGAACCAAUAAUACUUGAUGUAGUCACAGGAAGUUAUCGAAAGAAUUAUCGAUAGAUAGCUACAGGAAUUGAUAGAGAUGCGACAGAUGGGAACUAGCUUUAUUUUAAGUUUGUCCUUAUACCGUCAGAUCAUAUGUUAUGCGUUGAUAAGAAAAUAAACUACCAAGAGCAGUUUUCGAAUGUGUGCCUCAAGGGAAUAGGUCAGGUAGCAGUACUAUAAAUAUAUCGAAAGACAACGAUAUAGAUUCGAGAGUG